This 460-nucleotide ribosomal RNA is filed under the name uncultured bacterium. RNAcentral's name for it is "bacterial SSU rRNA". It matches the Rfam family "Bacterial small subunit ribosomal RNA", at positions 327 to 805 of the family's 1533-position model. The record is from RNAcentral.
ACGACUACACUCCUACGGGAGGCAGCAGUGGGGAAUAUUGGACAAUGGGGGAAACCCUGAUCCAGCGACACCGCGUGAGUGAAGAAGUAUUUCGGUAUGUAAAGCUCUAUCAGCAGGGAAGAAAAUGACGGUACCUGACUAAGAAGCCCCGGCUGACUACGUGCCAGCAGCCGCGGUAAUACGUAGGGGGCAAGCGUUAUCCGGAUUUACUGGGUGUAAAGGGAGCGUAGACGGCACUGCAAGUCUGGAGUGAAAGCCCGGGGCUCAACCCCGGGACUGCUUUGGAAACUGUGGUGCUAGAGUGCAGGAGAGGUAAGUGGAAUUCCUAGUGUAACGGUGAAAUGCGUAGAUAUUAGGAGGAACACCAGUGGCGAAGGCGGCUUACUGGACUGUAACUGACGUUGAGGCUCGAAAGCGUGGGGAGUAAACAGGAUUAGAAACCCUAGUAGUCCACCAAUCC